GUUUUAUUUCCUUUCUAAACGAACUACAGAUCUGGUGUUUACUGUAAAUAUCUAUGGGGAUGAUAAUAAAAAAUCUUGCAGUUUUACUUUCAAUAUUAACAUUUAUCACAGUAUUUGGCAGAAGAGAACCACUGCAACGGCAUAUUGUUGAAGAAGGAAUAAAACCGGCCAUAUUUGGUUCGUACAGUUAUGAUCCCAUACGACAAGUGUUCGACCCACCGCCUCCGGAUAAAAAUGAAACGGUGCCAAGUCAGUUCUUUAACAAAACACACGUAUUGUCGACGGUCAUAGGCCAGGAAGACCAAAAACAGACUACAUUAGAUGCCAAAAAUGCCAGUAUGUUCUUCAGAAAACACGUCACACACAAAACCACUCCUUGGUGGGCCCGCCCCAAGUUACACAUGAACUCUACAACGAAACUCCGUCAUAAUGAUAAAUUUGUUGGUAAUU
This is a long non-coding RNA of Manduca sexta (tobacco hornworm), 450 nucleotides long. RefSeq lists it as uncharacterized. Lineage: Eukaryota; Metazoa; Arthropoda; Insecta; Lepidoptera; Sphingidae. The transcript is spliced from 3 exons. The record is from RefSeq and is a predicted model, not a curated record.